This 253-nucleotide ribosomal RNA is filed under the name uncultured bacterium. Its description in RNAcentral is "partial 16S ribosomal RNA". It matches the Rfam family "Bacterial small subunit ribosomal RNA", at positions 524 to 776 of the family's 1533-position model. The record is from RNAcentral.
UACGUAGGGUGCAAGCGUUAAUCGGAAUUACUGGGCGUAAAGCGUGCGCAGGCGGUGAUGUAAGACAGAUGUGAAAUCCCCGGGCUCAACCUGGGAACUGCAUUUGUGACUGCAUCGCUGGAGUGCGGCAGAGGGGGAUGGAAUUCCGCGUGUAGCAGUGAAAUGCGUAGAUAUCGAGAGGAACACCGGUGGCGAAGGCGAGUCCCUGGACAAUCCCUGACACUGAGGCACGAAAGCUAGGGGAGCAAACAGG